UACGGAGGAUCCAAGCGUUAUCCGGAUUUAUUGGGUUUAAAGGGUGCGUAGGCGGGAUAUUAAGUCAGUGGUGAAAGUUUGCAGCUUAACUGUAAAAUUGCCAUUGAAACUGAUAUUCUUGAGUACAAAUGAGGUAGGCGGAAUGUGUUGUGUAGCGGUGAAAUGCAUAGAUAUAACACAGAACACCAAUUGCGAAGGCAGCUUACUGGGAUGUAACUGACGCUGAGGCACGAAAGCGUGGGGAUCAAACAGG
This 253-nucleotide ribosomal RNA is filed under the name uncultured bacterium. Its description in RNAcentral is "partial 16S ribosomal RNA". It matches the Rfam family "Bacterial small subunit ribosomal RNA", at positions 524 to 776 of the family's 1533-position model. The record is from RNAcentral.